This 465-nucleotide ribosomal RNA is filed under the name Vreelandella stevensii. Its description in RNAcentral is "partial 16S ribosomal RNA". It matches the Rfam family "Bacterial small subunit ribosomal RNA", at positions 338 to 795 of the family's 1533-position model. Lineage: Bacteria; Pseudomonadati; Pseudomonadota; Gammaproteobacteria; Oceanospirillales; Halomonadaceae. The record is from RNAcentral.
CCUACGGGUGGCAGCAGUGGGGAAUAUUGGACAAUGGGGGGAACCCUGAUCCAGCCAUGCCGCGUGUGUGAAGAAGGCCCUCGGGUUGUAAAGCACUUUCAGUGAGGAAGAACGCCUGGUGGUUAAUACCCAUCAGGAAAGACAUCACUCACAGAGGAAGCACCGGCUAACUCCGUGCCAGCAGCCGCGGUAAUACGGAGGGUGCGAGCGUUAAUCGGAAUUACUGGGCGUAAAGCGCGCGUAGGUGGCUUGAUAAGCCGGUUGUGAAAGCCCCGGGCUCAACCUGGGAACGGCAUCCGGAACUGUCAAGCUAGAGUGCAGGAGAGGAAGGUAGAAUUCCCGGUGUAGCGGUGAAAUGCGUAGAGAUCGGGAGGAAUACCAGUGGCGAAGGCGGCCUUCUGGACUGACACUGACACUGAGGUGCGAAAGCGUGGGUAGCAAACAGGAUUAGAUACCCCAGUAGUC